CACGUGGGGAACCUGCCCCAUAGUCUGGGAUACCACUUGGAAACAGGUGCUAAUACCGGAUAAGAAAGCGGAUCGCAUGAUCAGCUUUUAAAAGGCGGCGUAAGCUGUCGCUAUGGGAUGGCCCCGCGGUGCAUUAGCUAGUUGGUAAGGUAAAGGCUUACCAAGGCGAUGAUGCAUAGCCGAGUUGAGAGACUGAUCGGCCACAUUGGGACUGAGACACGGCCCAAACUCCUACGGGAGGCAGCAGCC
RNAcentral lists this ribosomal RNA (249 nucleotides) under uncultured Lactobacillus sp. RNAcentral's name for it is "partial 16S ribosomal RNA". It matches the Rfam family "Bacterial small subunit ribosomal RNA", at positions 114 to 355 of the family's 1533-position model. Lineage: Bacteria; Bacillati; Bacillota; Bacilli; Lactobacillales; Lactobacillaceae. The record is from RNAcentral.